This 417-nucleotide ribosomal RNA is filed under the name Triticum aestivum (bread wheat). RNAcentral describes it as "partial small subunit ribosomal RNA". The record is from RNAcentral. Lineage: Eukaryota; Viridiplantae; Streptophyta; Magnoliopsida; Poales; Poaceae.
AUGUGCUUGUGGGGCCUGGCUGAUCGAUGCAUCGUGCGUGCCUCACCUCCAUCUGCAGUUGGAGAGAGAGAUGGACUGGCGCCUAUGACGCACUGGUCGACGCCGCGGCCGCUGCCGUCAGCGAGCCCGGGUGCAUGGUGGCGCUCAUGGACCUCAACCGCUGCCUCCACGCCUUCAGCGUCUCCUGUGACCGAGCCGAGGGCCUCGUCCAGGCGGCCGCCGGCGGCCUCGGCCCCGCCGCCUCCCGCCACGACGAGCUAUGCCAUGCCGUGCGCGCGGUUGAAAAGGAUCUCUGGGCCGCCACCGCCGGCCGGGAGGAGAACGAGAUGGAAGAGGAGAAGAAUCACCCUCCGACCACGCCGCUGGCGGCCGAGGACAAAUAGCCCAAUCGAUCUACCUCGUAUUUUGUUGAGAUGA